RNAcentral lists this ribosomal RNA (271 nucleotides) under uncultured bacterium. RNAcentral describes it as "partial 16S ribosomal RNA". It matches the Rfam family "Bacterial small subunit ribosomal RNA", at positions 524 to 794 of the family's 1533-position model. The record is from RNAcentral.
UACGUAGGGUGCGAGCGUUAAUCGGAAUUACUGGGCGUAAAGCGUGCGCAGGCGGUUUGGUAAGACAGGCGUGAAAACCCUGGGCUCAACCUGGGACGUGCAUUUAAUACUGGAGGGCUAGAGUAUAGUAGAGGAGAGGGGAAUUCCUGGUGUAGCAGUGAAAUGCGUAGAGAUCAGGAGGAACAUCAGUGGCGAAGGCGCCUCUCUGGACUAAUACUGACACUGAAAAGCGAAGGCGUGGGGAUCAAACAGGAUUAGAAACCCCUGUAGU